Molecule: ribosomal RNA, 497 nt
Filed under: uncultured bacterium
Lineage: Bacteria
Description: partial 16S ribosomal RNA
Rfam family: Bacterial small subunit ribosomal RNA
Source: RNAcentral
GACGAACGCUGGCGGCGUGCCUAAUACAUGCAAGUAGAACGCUGAAGAGAGGAGCUUGCUCUUCUUGGAUGAGUUGCGAACGGGUGAGUAACGCGUAGGUAACCUGCCUUGUAGCGGGGGAUAACUAUUGGAAACGAUAGCUAAUACCGCAUAACAAUGGAUGACACAUGUCAUUUAUUUGAAAGGGGCAAUUGCUCCACUACAAGAUGGACCUGCGUUGUAUUAGCUAGUAGGUGAGGUAACGGCUCACCUAGGCGACGAUACAUAGCCGACCUGAGAGGAUGAGCGGCCGCACUGGGACGGAGACACGGCCCAGACGCCUACGGGAGGCAGCCGGAGGGAAUCGUCGGCAAUCGGUGCAACCCUGAGCGAGCAACGCCGCGUGAGUGAAGAGGGUUGUCGGAUCGUAAAGCUCUGUUGUAAGUCAAGAACGAGUGUGAGAGUGGAAAGUUCACACUGUGACGGUAGCUUACCAGAAAGGGACGGCUAACUACGUG